This 253-nucleotide unclassified non-coding RNA is filed under the name uncultured Alphaproteobacteria bacterium. Its description in RNAcentral is "contains 16S-23S intergenic spacer region". It matches the Rfam family "Bacterial small subunit ribosomal RNA", at positions 524 to 776 of the family's 1533-position model. The record is from RNAcentral. Lineage: Bacteria; Pseudomonadati; Pseudomonadota; Alphaproteobacteria.
UACGUAGGGGGCAAGCGUUGUCCGGAUUUACUGGGCGUAAAGCGCACGUAGGCGGAACGUUAAGUCAGAGGUGAAAUCCUGGAGCUCAACUCCAGAACUGCCUCUGAUACUGACGAUCUAGAGUCCGGAAGAGGGGAGUGGAACUCCUAGUGUAGCGGUGGAAUUCGUAGAUAUUAGAAAGAACACCAGUGGCGAAGGCGGCUCACUGGUCCGGUACUGACGCUGAGGUGCGAAAGCGUGGGGAGCAAACAGG